Molecule: ribosomal RNA, 253 nt
Filed under: uncultured bacterium
Lineage: Bacteria
Description: partial 16S ribosomal RNA
Rfam family: Bacterial small subunit ribosomal RNA
Source: RNAcentral
UACGUAGGGGGCGAGCGUUAUCCGGAUUUACUGGGUGUAAAGGGAGCGUAGGCGGCGAUGCAAGUCAGAAGUGAAAGCCCGGGGCUCAACUCCGGGACUGCUUUUGAAACUGUGUUGCUAGAUUGCAGGAGAGGUAAGUGGAAUUCCUAGUGUAGCGGUGAAAUGCGUAGAUAUUAGGAAGAACACCAGUGGCGAAGGCGAUUCUCUGGACUGUAACUGACGCUGAGGCUCGAAAGCGUGGGGAGCAAACAGG